GUCUGCUACCCGGCGACCAGCACUGGCCUGGUGGGGAACAUGAGUCCAGGCGGGCUGGGGUUAGAGCGAAUCACCCCAGUAGUCCCAGGAAGUGGAAACAUUGUGGUCCACACCUUACAAAUGAGGAUACGUAGCUCAAAGAGGCAAGCGGACUCCUAAAUGGCGCUCUUGUCGGAGUGUUACCUGAAAAACUGGCUUUGCCUUUUGGUGGGUGUCAAGCCAGAAGACAAAGAGUGGGAGAAGGAAGGAUUUAUUACUUGCAACAAAUCAUUACUGAGACCUGUUGAAGGGCAAGCGUUGUGGCCAGGCUUAAAAUGACUUAGGCCAAAAAUGGCUUUUCUUAUGUCAAGAAAGCCAUGCCCAGGGGAUUCCCUGGUGGUGCAGUGGUUGAGAAUCUGCCUGCCAAUGCAGGGGACACGGGUUUGUGCCCUGGUCUGGGAAGAUCCCACAUGCCGCGGAGCAAAUGGGCCCGUGAGCCACAACUACUGAGCCUGCGUGUCUGGAGCCUGUGCUCCGCAACAAGAGAGGCCGCGAUAGUGAGAGGCCCACGCACCGCGAUGAGGGGUGGCCCCCGCUUGCCGCAACUAGAGCAAGCCCUCGCACAGAAACGAAGACCCAACACAGCCAAAAAUAAAUAAAUAAAAAAUUUUUUAAAAAUACGGGAGUCCAUGUAUUAAAAAGAAAGCCAUGCCUGGAUUUCUUUUUCCGGGGACCUCCCCUACCCUAUCUGCCUACAGGAGGAGUAGGUUUCGUUGAAUCUUGAGGGAUAUACCUUGAGCAGGAGGUCUGAAUUCUGCCCUUGCCACUUAAUGGCAGUGAAGCGAAGGGCAGAUCUCUUCCCUUCUCUGGGCCUCAAUUUAUUCACUGUUGACGUGGGACUAAUGAUACCACCUUAUAGAGCUGCUAUGAGGAUUAAAUUAGAUUAGCGAUUCUCAGACUCCUACUCUCAAAACCAUUUUAUACUUUUUAAAAAUGAUUGACGGGAGUUCCCUGGCAGUGCAGUGGUUAGGACUCCAUGCUCUUACUGCCAAGGGCCCAGGUUCAAUCCCUGGUCAGGUAACUAAAAUCCUUCAAGCUGUGUGGUGUGGCCAAGAAAAAAAAACAGAUUGAAGGCCUCAAAAAGUUUUUGCUAAUAUGGCUUAUAUCUUUCUAUGUUUACCAUAUUAUAAAUUAAAACAUUUUUUAAAAUUAUUUUCAUUUUAAAUAUUACCCUUUUUUAAAACGUAGCUAUAAUUCCCCCAAAUAUAGAGAAGAGUGGCAAAUGUUUCACAUUUUUGCAAAUCUCUUUAAAGUCUGGCUUCAUAGAAGAUAGCUGGAGUCUCACAUCUGCUUCUGCAUUGAAUCUGUUGCAAUAUAUUGCUAGGGUUGAAGUAUAUGAAGAAAACCCAGCCUCAGGUAUGUGGUUCAACAAGGAGAGACCUGCAGACCCUACUCUGAGAACAGCUUAGAGCACCUGGCAAGGCCUUGGGAAUAGUAGUGAAAUGAAGCUAGUGAGUCAGGAAAAUGAGCUGAUAGCUUUGAACAUCUCCCCCACCCUGGGCCCCAAAGGACUGGCGCAGGUAGGCUCAGGCCCCACUCCAGGGAUGGUCGAGAAAUGGGGGCAGAAACAGCCCACUCCUGGAGGAAACGAGAGAGAGAGGAAGGAAGGAAAGAGGAGAAGAGAAAAGGAAGAAAGGUGAGAUGGGAAACUCAUCUUCCAACCACAUUGAACAGCCAUCCAGAACCAAAGUGGCAAAACACUAGUGACUGGGAGCCCAGUGAUGAGUACUUACUCUAUUCUUCCUAUUUUUAUGUGUGUCUGGAAUUUUCCUUACUAAACAGUUCUUAUUUUUGAAGGAAGCAUGCGAUAUCAUGUAUCCCUUGAUAUGACAUGACAUGACAUGAUGAGAAAGGCACUUCACCUCUGUGGUAUUCCCCUCACCCCUAAAGCUAUAAUCCCUGUCUAAUCAUUAGAAAAACAUCAGACAGACCCAAAUUGAGAGACAUUUGGCAGAAUAACUGACCAAGAGUCUUUGUAACUGCCCAGGUCAUAGGAGACAUGGACAGACCAGAGGAACCUAAGGAGACAAGACACCUAAAUGCAAUGUGGGAUGCUGGAACAGAAAAGGACAUUGGUGGGAACACUGGUAAAAUCCAAAUAAAAUCUGGAGUUUAGUUAUUAGUAAUGGAUCACUGUUAAUUUCUUUGUUCUGGGAAAUGUACCAUAGUUAGGUAUGUUAACGUGGAGGGAAAUUGGGAUAGGGCAUUUGGGAACUUGGUACUAUCUUGCAACAUUUCUAUAAAUCUAAAAUCCAAAAUUAAAAGUUCACAAAAAGGAAGGCAUUCAUUGUUCAGCUUCUUUCAUAAUUAAAUAAUUAAAAUAAGUAUAUAUCUUAAAAUAUAUAUCAAACUGGCAAAAUAAAAGCAAUUUUGCACAGUGUUUGAUAUGGGUGGUAUACACAGGCAGGAUGUGUGCACUGUGGAGGAGAGGGUCUGCAUUGUUGGAGCCCAGUUUGGCCAUGUCAUUAAAAGUAUUGUAGCUAUAGCUAAUCCCGUUUGAUCCAUUUCCAUGCCUACAAAUUACCCUACAAAACCCUCCCUUCAGUGCUCAGAGACAUGUACAGGAUGUUUGUACAAACACAAGAGUGAUGGACAGGACUUGGUUCCCAAUGUGGGCACCUCAGGACAGCCUCAGGCUGCACCAGCCCACCCCAGCA
Globicephala melas (long-finned pilot whale) is the source of this 2696-nucleotide long non-coding RNA. RefSeq lists it as uncharacterized. The record is from RefSeq and is a predicted model, not a curated record. Lineage: Eukaryota; Metazoa; Chordata; Mammalia; Artiodactyla; Delphinidae.